This 2078-nucleotide ribosomal RNA is filed under the name Staphylococcus aureus. RNAcentral's name for it is "partial 23S ribosomal RNA". It matches the Rfam family "Bacterial large subunit ribosomal RNA", at positions 845 to 2925 of the family's 2925-position model. Lineage: Bacteria; Bacillati; Bacillota; Bacilli; Caryophanales; Staphylococcaceae. The record is from RNAcentral.
AUAGCUGGUUCUCUCCGAAAUAGCUUUAGGGCUAGCCUCAAGUGAUGAUUAUUGGAGGUAGAGCACUGUUUGGACGAGGGGCCCCUCUCGGGUUACCGAAUUCAGACAAACUCCGAAUGCCAAUUAAUUUAACUUGGGAGUCAGAACAUGGGUGAUAAGGUCCGUGUUCGAAAGGGAAACAGCCCAGACCACCAGCUAAGGUCCCAAAAUAUAUGUUAAGUGGAAAAGGAUGUGGCGUUGCCCAGACAACUAGGAUGUUGGCUUAGAAGCAGCCAUCAUUUAAAGAGUGCGUAAUAGCUCACUAGUCGAGUGACACUGCGCCGAAAAUGUACCGGGGCUAAACAUAUUACCGAAGCUGUGGAUUGUCCUUUGGACAAUGGUAGGAGAGCGUUCUAAGGGCGUUGAAGCAUGAUCGUAAGGACAUGUGGAGCGCUUAGAAGUGAGAAUGCCGGUGUGAGUAGCGAAAGACGGGUGAGAAUCCCGUCCACCGAUUGACUAAGGUUUCCAGAGGAAGGCUCGUCCGCUCUGGGUUAGUCGGGUCCUAAGCUGAGGCCGACAGGCGUAGGCGAUGGAUAACAGGUUGAUAUUCCUGUACCACCUAUAAUCGUUUUAAUCGAUGGGGGGACGCAGUAGGAUAGGCGAAGCGUGCGAUUGGAUUGCACGUCUAAGCAGUAAGGCUGAGUAUUAGGCAAAUCCGGUACUCAUUAAGGCUGAGCUGUGAUGGGGAGAAGACAUUGCGUCUUCGAGUCGUUGAUUUCACACUGCCGAGAAAAGCCUCUAGAUAGAAAAUAGGUGCCCGUACCGCAAACCGACACAGGUAGUCAAGAUGAGAAUUCUAAGGUGAGCGAGCGAACUCUCGUUAAGGAACUCGGCAAAAUGACCCCGUAACUCGGGAGAAGGGGUGCUCUUUAGGGUUAACGCCCAGAAGAGCCGCAGUGAAUAGGCCCAAGCGACUGUUUAUCAAAAACACAGGUCUCUGCUAAACCGUAAGGUGAUGUAUAGGGGCUGACGCCUGCCCGGUGCUGGAAGGUUAAGAGGAGUGGUUAGCUUCUGCGAAGCUACGAAUCGAAGCCCCAGUAAACGGCGGCCGUAACUAUAACGGUCCUAAGGUAGCGAAAUUCCUUGUCGGGUAAGUUCCGACCCGCACGAAAGGCGUAACGAUUUGGGCACUGUCUCAACGAGAGACUCGGUGAAAUCAUAGUACCUGUGAAGAUGCAGGUUACCCGCGACAGGACGGAAAGACCCCGUGGAGCUUUACUGUAGCCUGAUAUUGAAAUUCGGCACAGCUUGUACAGGAUAGGUAGGAGCCUUUGAAACGUGAGCGCUAGCUUACGUGGAGGCGCUGGUGGGAUACUACCCUAGCUGUGUUGGCUUUCUAACCCGCACCACUUAUCGUGGUGGGAGACAGUGUCAGGCGGGCAGUUUGACUGGGGCGGUCGCCUCCUAAAAGGUAACGGAGGCGCUCAAAGGUUCCCUCAGAAUGGUUGGAAAUCAUUCAUAGAGUGUAAAGGCAUAAGGGAGCUUGACUGCGAGACCUACAAGUCGAGCAGGGUCGAAAGACGGACUUAGUGAUCCGGUGGUUCCGCAUGGAAGGGCCAUCGCUCAACGGAUAAAAGCUACCCCGGGGAUAACAGGCUUAUCUCCCCCAAGAGUUCACAUCGACGGGGAGGUUUGGCACCUCGAUGUCGGCUCAUCGCAUCCUGGGGCUGUAGUCGGUCCCAAGGGUUGGGCUGUUCGCCCAUUAAAGCGGUACGCGAGCUGGGUUCAGAACGUCGUGAGACAGUUCGGUCCCUAUCCGUCGUGGGCGUAGGAAAUUUGAGAGGAGCUGUCCUUAGUACGAGAGGACCGGGAUGGACAUACCUCUGGUGUACCAGUUGUCGUGCCAACGGCAUAGCUGGGUAGCUAUGUGUGGACGGGAUAAGUGCUGAAAGCAUCUAAGCAUGAAGCCCCCCUCAAGAUGAGAUUUCCCAACUUCGGUUAUAAGAUCCCUCAAAGAUGAUGAGGUUAAUAGGUUCGAGGUGGAAGCAUGGUGACAUGUGGAGCUGACGAAUACUAAUCGAUCGAAGACUUAAUCAAAA